AUUGAACGCUGGCGGCAGGCCUAACACAUGCAAGUCGAACGAGUGGCGCACGGGUGAGAAAUGUCUGGGAAACUGCCUGAGGGAGGGGGAUAACUACUGGAAACGGUAGCUAAUAGCGUAUACCAUAGUAAGUGCCCAUAUGGGAUUCGCUAGUAGGUGGGGUAAUGGCUCCCCUAGGCGACGAUCCCUAGCUGGUCUGAGAGGAUGACCAGCCACACUGGAACUGAGACACGGUCCAGACUCCUACGGGAGGCAGCAGUGGGGAAUAUUGCACAAUGGGCGCAAGCCUGAUGCAGCCAUGCCGCGUGUAUGAAGAAGGCCUUCGGGUUGUAAAGUACUUUCAGCGGGGAGGCGUUACCCACAGAAGAAGCACCGGCUAACUCCGUGCCAGCAGCCGCGGUAAUUC
Molecule: ribosomal RNA, 406 nt
Filed under: uncultured bacterium
Lineage: Bacteria
Description: partial 16S ribosomal RNA
Rfam family: Bacterial small subunit ribosomal RNA
Source: RNAcentral